GAUGAACGCUGGCGGCGUGCCUAAUACAUGCAAGUCGAGCGAACAGACGAGGAGCUUGCUCCUCUGACGUUAGCGGCGGACGGGUGAGUAACACGUGGAUAACCUACCUAUAAGACUGGGAUAACUUCGGGAAACCGGAGCUAAUACCGGAGAAUAUAUUGAACCGCAUGGUUCAAUAGUGAAAGACGGUUUUGCUGUCACUUAUAGAUGGUUCCGCGCCGCAUUAGCUAGUUGGUAAGGUAACGGCUUACCAAGGCAACGAUGCGUAGCCGACCUGAGAGGGUGAUCGGCCACACUGGAACUGAGACACGGUCCAGACUCCUACGGGAGGCAGCAGUAGGGAAUCUUCCGCAAUGGGCGAAAGCCUGACGGAGCAACGCCGCGUGAGUGAUGAAGGUCUUCGGAUCGUAAAACUCUGUUAUUAGGGAAGAACAAAUGUGUAAGUAACUAUGCACGUCUUGACGGUACCUAAUCAGAAAGCAACGGCUAACUACGUG
RNAcentral lists this ribosomal RNA (497 nucleotides) under uncultured bacterium. RNAcentral describes it as "partial 16S ribosomal RNA". It matches the Rfam family "Bacterial small subunit ribosomal RNA", at positions 28 to 507 of the family's 1533-position model. The record is from RNAcentral.